CAUGGGCAUCAUGGUCAGCCCUGAAGGAUGAGAUGGUGAGAUCUGGGAAGGAAAUGAAGUUGGACCUGUAGGGAGCUAUGGUGAACAGUGACCAUCUAGGCAUGCGAGUGAGGGAGGAGCUCCCUCUGAGCAGAACCUGGAGAAAGGAUCUGGAAGAAGAGAGAGGGAGCCACAGAGGGAGCUACAGAACACAGACACCCAGCAGAGCAACAAUGGGGCAGAGAAGAGGGAGGACUGCUUGGCAGUGA
Molecule: long non-coding RNA, 248 nt
Filed under: Fukomys damarensis (Damara mole-rat)
Lineage: Eukaryota; Metazoa; Chordata; Mammalia; Rodentia; Bathyergidae
Description: lncRNA (ENSFDAG00000025735.1)
Source: RNAcentral